This 267-nucleotide unclassified non-coding RNA is filed under the name Hevea brasiliensis (rubber tree). Lineage: Eukaryota; Viridiplantae; Streptophyta; Magnoliopsida; Malpighiales; Euphorbiaceae. The record is from RNAcentral.
GAAGAAAAAUAAAGAUGACUCAAAUAAGCAAAUAGACAAAAAUGAAAAUUUUCAAUCAAAUUUUUCAUGAGAACAAUUGCCAUUUUGUAGUGACAAUAAAAUGCAUUGUGGCUUUAAUUGCGAGAAUUUGUCUACAAAAUAAACUCCAAGAAAAUGUGCAUUGCACAAUGUCAUAUUUUAUCAUUUACCUAAUAUGUUAGCUACUUAUUAGCCAUUCAUAAGCACUCUAACUAAACAAAUAACUGUUUAAAAUUUUAAAUGCUUAUA